AUUGAAAUAAACACGUGAGAUUGGACGUCCUGUAUAAUACGACUUGCGUUUUCUAUGAAUUCUAUGUGAUCUGUGACAUUUAGUGGUGUUAUACAAAUUGCCUCCAGCUUACUGACCAUGAUAUAGCAAAAUGGGAGUAUGUAUGUGUAAGGUCCAACAUUGCAUGCGCCAGGAUAGCGAUCUUCUGCUUCUUUCUACAAAUGCAGUUUUGGCGAAAUCCGAUCAGGCAAUAGCCACUUUGUACAAGGUAAAGGUAACCUCUACCUAGUGGAUAUUUUUUGCAAAGGAUUACGUGCACAACAAUGAAAUCAACAUAACCACUGACUGAAUCUACAUAUUACUCCAUUUGUAGCAAUAUCCACAGCAAAUAUUUACUGCCCUCGGCACUCAAGAAUGGUACCGAUUUCAUUUAUGCAGUGAUGUCCUGUCCUAUCUCAAGUAAAACAACAUAGUCAACCACACUAAGCGAUAGAAUCAAAUGAAUUGAAUUCCAAAUUGAUCAAACUCCAGUAACAUAUAUCAAAAUUGUAUUUAUAUUGUCCAAAGGUCACAUAAAACUAAUUGUUCCUCAGUUUUUCAAAACAUAAAAACUAAAAUUCAUAUAAACUAUGAAACAAUUGCAUAGCUAACAAUUGUAAGUAUUUUGAUAUAAAAUUGUAAAAUAAA
Long non-coding RNA from Folsomia candida, 666 nucleotides. RefSeq lists it as uncharacterized. The record is from RefSeq and is a predicted model, not a curated record. The transcript is spliced from 3 exons. Lineage: Eukaryota; Metazoa; Arthropoda; Collembola; Entomobryomorpha; Isotomidae.